Hippocampus zosterae (dwarf seahorse) is the source of this 2087-nucleotide long non-coding RNA. RefSeq lists it as uncharacterized. The transcript is spliced from 2 exons. The record is from RefSeq and is a predicted model, not a curated record. NCBI's taxonomy places the organism in Eukaryota, Metazoa, Chordata, Actinopteri, Syngnathiformes, Syngnathidae.
UGAUCGUCAUUGUAACCAUCCAUCCAUCCAUCGAUUUUCCGAACCACUUGAUCCUCACUAGGGACGCGGGGGGUGCUCGAGCCUAUCCCAGCCGUCUUCGGGCAGUAGUCGGGGGACACCCUGAAUCAGUUGCCCGCCAAUCGCUAGGCACACAGAGACGAACAACCAUCCACGCCCACACUCACACCUAGGGACAAUUUAGAGCGUCCAAUCAGCCUGCCAUGCAUGUUUUUGGAAUGUGGGAGGAAACCGGAGCACCCGGAGAAAACCCACGCAAGCCCGGGGAGAACAUGCAAACUCCACACAGGGAGGCCGGAGCUGGAAUCGAACCGGUACCUCUGCACUGUGAAGCCGACGUGCUAACCACUGGAUACCGGGCCGGUCGUUGUAACCCUGGCGAUAUUCAGGUAAUUGGUAACUAGUUUACCAUGACUCAUGUGAGGUGUUAAUUUUGGACAGAUGAUUAAUUAGUUCAGUGGUAUUUGUAGAGCACAAUAUCGUGGUAUGGAGUUUGAAAUCUACCACUAGUGAGUCGUGUGAACAGGCGUAAGUGUUCGCAACGUUACAAGAUGUAAAUAUGUUUUUUUUUUGGACUGUGAAAUGAUAUGAACUGUGUUAUCUGUUCUUUAGAGGGGAGAUCAUUUCGAUAACAGUACAAUCAGGAAUGCUUGGUGCACUGUGUGGAAGUUUAGGGACGCAACCACCUUUCCGAGGACGUGGUUGGGAAGAGAUAAGUGUUAAGACUAAACAGUGAGCAAGGGGGAACAGUGAAUGGAGCCAUCAACACCAGCUGCGGCGUGAUGUUUUUGUGACAAUUGCACAAUAAUUUUACGUUAUUUUUGGUCGUAAAUUAAUUUCAGCAACAAAAAAACUCAGGAGCCAUUUGAGAGCGGAUAGAGGCUCUUUUUACUGAGCCGAGCCUAAAGAACCGACUAUCUAAAAAGAGCCGGAAUUCCCAUCACUAGUGUGCACGCAAGCACGAGCACGCACACACAUUCAACCAAUCAGCGCUGACACAAAGGGCGUUACAGAUCAAAGAGCUUUGAUCAACGACAACAGCUAAGCUAGUAGUUAAGACGAAACAGCGCUUGAGGUCGGACGGACACGCUCUCCGUUAAUCUGUAUGUUUUUCUUUUCUUUUUCUGUAAAAAUACAUAUAUUUUGAUACUACAAUAGUAUUCUCGUCCACGGAGUCUUUUUUCGUCCCACCGGGGUUUAGCCAGUGUGAUUAUAAAGAGACUAAAAUCUCUUUUGAGGUUAUUACAGCCUUGUUGAGGUCAAUAUUUGAUAACCAAGUAGAUUUUGAUAUAUUUUUUAAAAUAUAUUUUCAAAAGCAGCGCAAGCUUUUUUCCCAAAAACUUACACCUGUUCGGUUAAGGCACCUUCGUAAAAGUCUCAUAAUAUUAUAUAUUAUACAUAUAAUAUAAUAUAUUCAUAUUAUUUUCACUUUCAGUGCGUCAAAUGUUUUCAACAAUUUCAGACCUAACCGUAGACAUGACGUUUUUCAUUAUUUCAGGACAAAAUCCGACGGGCUUUGCUGCAGGGCCCAGAAGUCAUAUCAACAUCAACUGAGGGUUUUCAAGUCCCCUGCCUGAAAUUUCUGCCAAUUUCUUCACCGGGCCUCCUCCCAAGACCAUCGCACACGCCGUCCGCUUGGAGUUGCACCCAUCCGAGCAGCAGCAGCAGCCAGCCACCUACACUUACACCGUCCCGGGCUUUCCUCACGUCUGCUACUCAGACUGAAGCGGAUGGCCGGGAAGACAGAACCAAUCAACCAAGCAGAUGACAUAUUAAAUAAUAAAAUAAAACGGAACUCCUCAUUGGCACCAAAUCCACCCUAAACAAAAUAAACAAUUUCUCCAUUCCCUUUGACAGCUCCACCAUCUCCCCCUCCCCUCAGGUCAAUAGUCUGGGCAUCAUCCUUGAUAGCACCCUCUCCUUCAUCUCACAUAUCAACAACAUUGCUCAUUCUGCAUAUUAUCAUCUUAGAAACAUUCACCGGCUCCGCUCUUCUCUCACCCCUCACUCCACUGCUAUACUUGUUCAUACCCUCGUCACCUCCCGACUUGACUACUGUAACUACCUCA